GCCAGCGUGGCUUAGUGGUUUGAGUGUUGGACUACAGCUCUGAAGACCAGGAUUUGAUUCCAUACUCUGACA
This is a non-coding RNA of Phrynosoma platyrhinos (Desert horned lizard), 72 nucleotides long. NCBI's taxonomy places the organism in Eukaryota, Metazoa, Chordata, Lepidosauria, Squamata, Phrynosomatidae. The record is from the annotation of a GenBank genome assembly.